RNAcentral lists this ribosomal RNA (495 nucleotides) under uncultured bacterium. RNAcentral's name for it is "bacterial SSU rRNA". It matches the Rfam family "Bacterial small subunit ribosomal RNA", at positions 28 to 513 of the family's 1533-position model. The record is from RNAcentral.
GAUGAACGCUAGCGGCAGGCUUAACACAUGCAAGUCGAGGGGCAGCAUGAUUUAACUUUCGGGUUAGAUUGAUGGCGACCGGCGCAAGGGUGCGUAACGCGUGAGCAACUUGCCCUUAUCAGGGGAAUAACCGUUGGAAACGACGACUAAUACCCCAUAGCAUCACUUUUAAGGCAUCUUUUAGUGAUUAAAGAAUUUCGGAUAAGGAUAGGCUCGCGUGACAUUAGCUAGAUGGCGGGGUAACGGCCCACCAUGGCGACGAUGUCUAGGGGUUCUGAGAGGAAGGUCCCCCACACUGGAACUGAGACACGGUCCAGACUCCUACGGGAGGCAGCAGUGAGGAAUAUUGGUCAAUGGUCGAGAGACUGAACCAGCCAUGCCGCGUGAAGGUCACGGCCCUAUGGGUCUUAAACUUCUUUUGUAAGGGAGCAAUAAGGUUCACGUGUGGACUGAUGAGAGUACUUACGAUAAGNAUCGGCUAACUCCGUGCCAGCA